This 254-nucleotide ribosomal RNA is filed under the name uncultured bacterium. Its description in RNAcentral is "partial 16S ribosomal RNA". It matches the Rfam family "Bacterial small subunit ribosomal RNA", at positions 524 to 777 of the family's 1533-position model. The record is from RNAcentral.
UACGUAGGUGGCGAGCGUUAUCCGGAAUUAUUGGGCGUAAAGCGCGCGCAGGUGGUUUCUUAAGUCUGAUGUGAAAGCCCACGGCUCAACCGUGGAGGGUCAUUGGAAACUGGGAGACUUGAGUGCAGAAGAGGAAAGUGGAAUUCCAUGUGUAGCGGUGAAAUGCGUAGAGAUAUGGAGGAACACCAGUGGCGAAGGCGACUUUCUGGUCUGUAACUGACACUGAGGCGCGAAAGCGUGGGGAGCAAACAGGA